ACCGUGCAAAGGUAGCAUAAUCAUUAGUUUUUUAAUUGAAAGCUGGAAUGAACGGUUGGACGAGAAAAUAACUGUCUCAGUUUAAUUGUAUGUAGAAUUUUAUUUAUAAGUAAAAAAGCUUAUAUGAUUUUAAAAGACGAGAAGACCCUAUAGAGUUUUAUAGUUUUUUAUAUGAAUUAGGUUUAGAAUAUUUACAUUUUUUAUAUAAAAACCUAUUUUGCUGGGGCAGCAGAAAAAUUGAUUAAACUUUUUUUAUUUAUAAAACAUUGAUUUAUGAUUUAAUGAUCCAUUUUUUAUGAUUACAAGAUUAAAUUACCUUAGGGAUAACAGCGUAAUUUUUUUUUAGAGUUCUUAUCGAAAAAAGAGUUU
Molecule: ribosomal RNA, 369 nt
Filed under: Mimela splendens
Lineage: Eukaryota; Metazoa; Arthropoda; Insecta; Coleoptera; Scarabaeidae
Description: partial 16S ribosomal RNA
Source: RNAcentral